GACGAACGCUGGCGGCGUGCCUAAUACAUGCAAGUAGAACGCUGAAGGAGGAGCUUGCUCUUCUGGAUGAGUUGCGAACGGGUGAGUAACGCGUAGGUAACCUGCCUGGUAGCGGGGGAUAACUAUUGGAAACGAUAGCUAAUACCGCAUAACAGUAGAUGUUGCAUGACAUUUGCUUAAAAGGUGCAAUUGCAUCACUACCAGAUGGACCUGCGUUGUAUUAGCUAGUUGGUGGGGUAACGGCUCACCAAGGCGACGAUACAUAGCCGACCUGAGAGGGUGAUCGGCCACACUGGGACUGAGACACGGCCCAGACUCCUACGGGAGGCAGCAGUAGGGAAUCUUCGGCAAUGGACGGAAGUCUGACCGAGCAACGCCGCGUGAGUGAAGAAGGGUUUCGGAUCGUAAAGCUCUGUUGUAAGAGAAGAACGAGUGUGAGAGUGGAAAGUUCACACUGUGACGGUAUCUUACCAGAAAGGGACGGCUAACUACGUG
Molecule: ribosomal RNA, 495 nt
Filed under: uncultured bacterium
Lineage: Bacteria
Description: partial 16S ribosomal RNA
Rfam family: Bacterial small subunit ribosomal RNA
Source: RNAcentral